UACAGAGGUCCCGAGCGUUGUUCGGAUUCACUGGGCGUAAAGGGUGCGUAGGUGGUGGAGUAAGUUUGAUGUGAAAUCUCCGGGCUUAACCCGGAAACUGCAUUGAAUACUAUUUUGCUGGAGGUUUGGAGGGGGGACUGGAAUUCUCGGUGUAGCAGUGAAAUGCGUAGAUAUCGGGAGGAACAUCAGUGGCGAAGGCGGCUGCCUGGCCCAAUACUGACACUCAGGUGCGACAGCGUGGGGAGCAAACAGG
This 253-nucleotide ribosomal RNA is filed under the name uncultured bacterium. RNAcentral describes it as "partial 16S ribosomal RNA". It matches the Rfam family "Bacterial small subunit ribosomal RNA", at positions 524 to 776 of the family's 1533-position model. The record is from RNAcentral.